AUUGAACGCUAGCGGGAUGCUUUACACAUGCAAGUCGAACGGCAGCGCGAAGGAAGCUUGCUUUCUUUGGCGGCGAGUGGCGAACGGGUGAGUAAUGUAUCGGAACGUGCCCAGUAGCGGGGGAUAACUGGCCGAAAGGUCAGCUAAUACCGCAUACGCCCUACGGGGGAAAGGGGGGGAUCGCAAGACCUCUCACUAUUGGAGCGGCCGAUAUCGGAUUAGCUAGUUGGUGGGGUAAAGGCCUACCAAGGCGACGAUCCGUGGCUGGUUUGAGAGGACGACCAGCCACACUGGGACUGAGACACGGCCCAGACUCCUACGGGGGGCAGCAGUGGGGAAUUUUGGACAAUGGGGGAAACCCUGAUCCAGCCAUCCCGCGUGUGCGAUGAAGGCCUUCGGGUUGUAAAGCACUUUUGGCAGGGAAGAAACGGCCUGGGAUAAUACCCUGGGCAACUGACGGUACCUGCAGAAUAAGCACCGGCUAACUACGUGCCAGCCGCCGCGGUAA
RNAcentral lists this ribosomal RNA (508 nucleotides) under uncultured bacterium. Its description in RNAcentral is "partial 16S ribosomal RNA". It matches the Rfam family "Bacterial small subunit ribosomal RNA", at positions 29 to 523 of the family's 1533-position model. The record is from RNAcentral.